AUACGGAGGAUGCGAGCGUUAUCCGGAUUUAUUAGGUUUAAAGGGUGUGUAGGCGGUAUUUUAAGUCAGUGGUGAAAUCUUUCAGCUUAACUGAGAAACUGCCAUUGAUACUGGAAUACUUGAGUAUAGUUGAGGUAGGCGGAAUAUGUAAUGUAGCGGUGAAAUGCAUAGAUAUGACAUAGAACACCGAUUGCGAAGGCAGCUUACUAAACUAUUACUGACGCUGAUGCACGAAAGCGUGGGGAGUGAACAGGAUUAGAUACCCUAGUAGUCC
Molecule: ribosomal RNA, 274 nt
Filed under: uncultured bacterium
Lineage: Bacteria
Description: partial 16S ribosomal RNA
Rfam family: Bacterial small subunit ribosomal RNA
Source: RNAcentral